GACAAGUCACCAUAACAACAAUAUUAACAACAGGAAAAGCACCUUAGGAGAGAGUAAUCACAAGUAUAAGCUCUGCUUUGCCAAUACACGCACACAAGCCUAUAAGCUUCUGCCAAAUGAAAGGUUCUCUUGGGAGUUUUUCCAGAAUGACCUGACAACAGACUUUGCAGCCUAUAAUUCUGUCAUCUGAUCAAUUCAGAAUUCUGGCCUCAGACCAGUGAUGUGCAAUAAGAAAGGGUCAACUGCAGAGCUGCUACAAAAUACUUUUAUGCCUUUGUGAUAAAGUUUUAAAGGACAAAAGAAGAAAGAAGCUCUUUCACCAUCUCAGACAAUAGAAUGGUGAACAGAUAAUCAGAGCUUUGUAUGCCAUAUCUAUACCAUAUGAGAAAGCUCAGUUAAUUGCAAUGUUUUCUAAUUAAAAUGAGCACAAAGUGAGUUACCAAUAUUAUUGCACUAUUUUCUGUAGAAUCUUUGCAUAAUUAAAUGUAUUGUUCCCAUCAUGUUAACUAGAGUGAAUCAUGUUUCGUUAAAACAAAAACAAUUGAACAUGGCAAACUCAUAAUAACAACGUGGAUGGAAUGGAAAAACGGUAGUGCAACAUUUCUAGAAGUAUAUAAAGGCAAAAUAUUGCCUUUCCACUAUCACCCACAUCCAUGCAUGAUUGUUAACUCCUAGUCACAAAGAACUUUCAAAUUGCUUGAAACAUCAAAUGCAUUUUAAUAGUUUUUUAGACUAGACCAUGCUUGAUGCCCUAACCAACUGCAAAGUAUUCUAACCAAAACAAUGAACAUGAUGCGAGUUACAAAUAUUGCACUACACCAGUAAAAAAGCAUAAUAUUUACAAAUUUUUCGCACUACUUACAUAGGAGGACUUGCAUGCAAAAACCUAGUAAUUACAAAUUCACAAGUGGGAAGUGGACAUCUCUGAUAGCCUGAAAAGCAAAAAUUGGUUUGUGCCAUGGCAAAUUGGAGACAUUGGAGUAAAUAUUAUUCAGGUCAAAAGUUGCUCAUCAACUUGAGGACAAAUGCAUCAGGAAUACUCUGUGUAAGCAUUUUGAACAGCACCCUCUGAAGAAAGUGUGGUAAUUCACCACUGGUUUUGGCUAAAAUGAAGUAAAAACUGUUAACCUGUACUUCAGGUUGCAUUUAUUGUAUUCUUUACUAUGAGGACAGAGAAAACAAACUUUGUCAACAUCAUCUUUACCAGGUUCAUUCACCUUUAUCUGAACCACAGGAGUCGACAUCGCCUUUCCUAGAAUGCACUAGCUACUUUCAUAUGGCAAACUCAGCAGCUGUUAGCAGGUUGUGCAUCAACCACAGUGUAGGACAAAGGUGCCAACACAAAUUCUCAUGUUUAAAGACAUCAAUUGUGACUUAGUAGGUAAUUGUGGGCAGCAGUGCGCUGCAGGGUUACCCACAAUUACCACUCCAUAUGACCCAUAUAACCUCACGCCGCCCUACCAAAGAGUGUAGUAAAAGCAGAAAAGCUCAAAGCCUGGAAAUAAGUGCCUUCCAGCCUUAGUAAAUUUCUGAUGCACAUCUGGAAAAAUGGAAUAGGAGGAGGGAGCAGUUUGUAUUGUGUCCAACUUUACGUAACCACCAUCCAGUCUCAAGCUUAUAAACAGGACGCAUGGCCAUCUCCAGCCUGAUCGUGAAGGCCAUCCAGGAAAGCAAAGACAAUGCAGACACCUUGGAGGAUGAAAGUGUGUGUGAUUCAAUGUCAGAAAGCAACAGCAUGCCCUCCGUUGCAGUGAUAGACACCGGAUCCUUCAUAUCAAACAAGAGGAUGGCCAUGCUGCUUGAUGGGAUAGCAAUCUUGUCUGAAACUAAGAUGGGACGUGCUGUGAGUGAGUGAGUGAGUGAGUGAGUGAGAGAACUGUGAGGAUUACCCAGCUGAACAGCUCUUACAGUAAUCACCAGAUCUACUCGCGGACUAUCCACAGGGACUCCCACUGAGAGAGAGUGUAUAGAUAUAACAGAAGUGGCUCACACCUGUAUCAGCGUGAGCCAUGAUCUCAGCACAACCAUAGACAGUACUGCUCCCGAACACCACCUCUACAUACUAGAAGCCCAGAUGUGUGAUGCAGUGCUAUCAUCUGGAGCUCCAGCUUUCUGGCAACCACAGCAACAACCAAUGCAGUGCAACCUGCUCCCUGCCAAAGACAAGAGACGGGGUCAAGCUCUCUCUUUCUCUCUGGUCUCUGCGCCUCCCGGACGUGUAGAGCGAGCGUUUGCACACCUCAGGCGGCGUGUUUUCAUCCAGCUUCUGUCACUUAUUGGUGGGGAUUCAGGCAGCGAUGAUCCACAGGGAGAUACUGAAGACUAGCAGCACCGUGCCCGGGCAUAUGGUCAUCAGGGUCUUCAUCACAAAGCGUGUG
This is a non-coding RNA of Danio rerio (zebrafish), 2378 nucleotides long. The record is from RefSeq and is a predicted model, not a curated record. Lineage: Eukaryota; Metazoa; Chordata; Actinopteri; Cypriniformes; Danionidae.